This 1668-nucleotide long non-coding RNA is filed under the name Nasonia vitripennis (jewel wasp). RNAcentral's name for it is "uncharacterized LOC116417551". The record is from RNAcentral. Lineage: Eukaryota; Metazoa; Arthropoda; Insecta; Hymenoptera; Pteromalidae.
GAGAGCCGCCUCGCUGCAUUUCUCUCAUUUUCGACCUUCUGCAGCCUAUAGGACUGAAGUCCCCGCAGUCUCUCGCCAGACGUCAACUCACCCUUGUGGGAGUGGAAUUUUUAGUUUACACUACAACGCGGAUCUCGUGUAUAAAAGCCGGAUGGAAAAAAGGGGAGAAGCUACGCGGAAAGAACAGAGAAGAGGCGUGAAAGAAGCUCCGGCGAAUAAAGAGUGAAAAAAAAAAUAUCGCCACGGCGCUUUCUCUUCUAUGUGUAUAUACAGAUGAGAUUUUAGCUUUGAAGUUGUUGCCCUAUCUGUUUAAAAAAAUCGUCAAACAGACGGUAAAAUCAGCGACGCACAAAAAUUGGUACCCGGAGAAACAAGAAAUCGAAAAAUCGUUCAUAAUACACAUUAAUGACAGCCAAAGGUUUGCUACACUUUUAGAAGCUGAACAGAUGAGGGUGAAGCAGCUCCACAUUAAUCACAAAUUAAUUGUUCGUCCCUACGUUGUGAUUUGUGGAGAAGAUUUGAGCGCAAUCACGAGUUCGUACGUUGUAAUAGGUGCAUGUAUGUAUCGGCUUCCUUCUCCGACCCAUGCAGUCGAUGUAUGCUUGAAAUUUUGUAAAGUUUUUAAUUUGCCAUUUCCCCACAUUUGUAGCCAUAUAUGGCAGUUCAUUCUAAAAUACGUCUAUGAGUUAGAGGUACCGCAGAUUUGUAAAGGGUCUGUAGACUUAAUUGAAAACUUGAAAAAAAUUGAUUAGAACCAAAUGUAGUUUUUCGUUUAAAUUUCAGUAUUACUCUUUUUAAUAUUGUACGAAACUUUAUUUAUUAUGCUAUUUAUAUAGUUUAGUGUAAAAGAUGGCGAACUUUUUGCAUGCUGAUAUAGAUGGGAUCAGUAACCGGAAUAAAUUAGACAGAGAAAUUUUAAAUCUAACGUUAUCGUUGUAUAAUAAUCCCCUUCUAUCGAGAAAAGCUGUAGAUUUUGUUAUUGAGCAAUUUUGUAAUUAUACUGACAACAUACUUACACCGUUUGUACAACGUCAAGUAGAAAAAAAAGUCGAAGAUAAAGUAUUUUGCAGAAAAAUACAGUUCCUUUUAGAAGACAGUAGAGGUCUCUUUAAUAAUUAUUCUUCAGAGCACAAAAGAUUUCAGAUUUACGAAAAAAAAGUCAUUAUGUACCCCCAGAAAUAUUUGAAAUAGGGAAAAAUAAUGUUUUCGUAAAUAGAAAGGUUGAUGAGUUUGAUGAGGUUGAUGUUCAAGAAAAACUUAUUUAUACCGUUCAUAUUCCCUUGAAAAGCACAUUAGAACAUUUUUUUUCUAUACCUGGAAUGUUUUUAGAAACAAUGAAGUAUGUGAAAAAUUUAGAUGAAAACAAGGAUAGUUUAACUAAUAUUAUGCAAGGAGAACUAUGGAAAAGUAAAUACGCAGACCCGAACAAAAUUGUAUUUCCGCUAUUUCUAUAUUUUAACGAAUUUGAAUGCGGUAAUCCGCUAGCAAGCCAUGCUGGGGAAGAAAAAUUAUAGGGGACGUAUGUAUCAGUUACCUGCUUACCUCCUCAUCUCAUUACAAAAUCUGAAAAUAUUUUUCUUGUAUCAUUGGUGCAUGCAAAGCAUCUGAAAUCAUUAAGCAACGAAGUAAUAUUUGAAAAGACAAUAAAUGAUUUGAAUAAUUUAUCAA